Long non-coding RNA from Drosophila guanche, 675 nucleotides. RefSeq lists it as uncharacterized. Lineage: Eukaryota; Metazoa; Arthropoda; Insecta; Diptera; Drosophilidae. The transcript has 2 exons. The record is from RefSeq and is a predicted model, not a curated record.
ACAAAAUUCAUUACUAAUAUUAUUAACGAUUUGUGUGUGUGUGGAGUGGAGUUUUGCCUGCCAAUUUGUUCUUUUCUUUUGUUAUACUUAUUAUGUAUCUGCUGCAAUGUAAUAUUACUAAUAUCAUUCGUUACCCAACCAACUUGGUUUUAUAAUUUCGUAGUUUGUAAUAAUUGUUCACGGAUGUUCCCCAGUGUGGCGCCAGAGCAGAGUACCAGCAGCUGUGUGCUGUUGUUGGGCUCUGGCAAAGCGAUGGUGGGAUGCGCCAGUAAUGCCUCCUUGAUCUUGAUUUUCGUUUUGUAAAUUCUCAAUCACAUAGCUGCGGGGCCACAAACCGGUGUCAAAGGUUCGCUCUCGAUUCGGCGUAGUGCCUACAACUUGAUGUUGAUGGUGAAUUUUCUGAUUGACGAACGGAAGCCAACCCAAAAUACCGACCAGGAGGAGGCGAAUGCCAAACGAGCUCAAGAGAACGGAAAGUGUUGAAUGUUGACACGGAAUUGGUUCUUCCUUUUCUUUGGUUUUUCUUUUCUCGUUUCUCGUUUUUCGUUUCUUUUCUCGCAUCUCCUGUACAUAGCAUAGCAUAGCUAUCCUUUUUGUAUGCACACACAGCACACUUAGUAAAUGUUUCUCGAUGUACGAACUGAAAUAUGGAAAAUAAAUUAAUUUCUCCCAAGA